AGAUAUCUCACCAGAGAGAGCAGAUCAGCACAGCUGGAGGGGCCUGGCCCCCGGGCUGCCUCACAGCCAUGCUGUGUCACAGUUGAGCUGUUCCACAGCUGUGAUGUAUCACAAUUGAGCUGUUUUGCACUGAAUAGUGUCCUCCUUACCACACCCCAAGUUGGGGAUUCCUGUUAGUGUUGAAUUGGCGUCCACAACCACCUCUUGAUACCUACCUCACAGGUGAGAAAAGGAAAGCCCAGAACACCUUCGCAUGAGCUUUGGGCAGCUGGAGGCCUUCACACAGCUUUGGGGUUGCUGGCAUGUCUCUAGUAAUUCCUGAGAAGUUCCAGCAUAUUUGCCAGUACUCAACACCAAUCAAUAUGGAUGGGCAGCAGAAAAUAGCCUUUGCCAGCACUCCAAUUACGGUAAAGCAGGGAUACAAACAUGAUGGCAGGAGCUGGAACAGCCACCUUGGAACCCAGAGAUGGAAGCCACAUGUGGAGAAUGACAGACACAUUACCAGCUCUGGACUGCUUACCUUUGGACUACUGUGUAAGAGCAAACCAAACUUCUGUUUUGUUUAAGUCACAGUAUUUCGGGCCUCUGACCACCUGGACUAUACUCCAAGUAAUAUAGCUUCAAGCCAUACCUACACCCAGGAACCUAUACUUCCUUGUUAUUUGUACUUGUGUUUUCUUAUUUCAAAUUUUAUGUUUUCCUUUUCAAAAAUUAAACUGU
This is a long non-coding RNA of Eptesicus fuscus (big brown bat), 720 nucleotides long. RefSeq lists it as uncharacterized. The transcript has 4 exons. Lineage: Eukaryota; Metazoa; Chordata; Mammalia; Chiroptera; Vespertilionidae. The record is from RefSeq and is a predicted model, not a curated record.